AGUCGACGGGAGGAAAAAGAAGCUUGCUUCUUUUUGAAUCUAGUGGCAAACGGGUGAGUAACACGUAAACAACCUGCCUUCAGGAUGGGGACAACAGACGGAAACGACUGCUAAUACCGAAUGUGUUCCGGAGACCGCAUGAUUUCCGGAAGAAAGGAUGGCCUCUAUUUAUAAGCUAUCGCCUGAAGAGGGGUUUGCGUCUGAUUAGGCAGUUGGUGAGGUAACGGCCCACCAAACCUACGAUCAGUAGCCGGUCUGAGAGGAUGAACGGCCACACUGGAACUGAGACACGGUCCAGACUCCUACGGGAGGCAGCAGUGGGGAAUCUUCCGCAAUGGACGAAAGUCUGACGGAGCAACGCCGCGUGAGUGAUGACGGCCUUCGGGUUGUAAAGCUCUGUGAUCGGGGACGAAUGGCUGGUGCGUUAAUACCGCAUCAGAGUGACGGUACCCGAAUAGCAAGCCACGGCUAACUACGUGCCAGCAGCCGCGGUAAUACGUAGGUGGCAAGCGUUAUCCGGAAUUAUUGGGCGUAAAGCGCGCGCAGGCGGCUUCUUAAGUCCAUCUUAAAAGUGCGGGGCUUAACCCCGUGAUGGGAUGGAAACUGGGAGGCUGGAGUAUCGGAGAGGAAAGUGGAAUUCCUAGUGUAGCGGUGAAAUGCGUAGAGAUUAGGAAGAACACCGGUGGCGAAGGCGACUUUCUGGACGACAACUGACGCUGAGGCGCGAAAGCGUGNGGAGCAAACAGGAUUANAUACCCUGGUAGUC
RNAcentral lists this ribosomal RNA (766 nucleotides) under uncultured bacterium. RNAcentral describes it as "bacterial SSU rRNA". It matches the Rfam family "Bacterial small subunit ribosomal RNA", at positions 60 to 795 of the family's 1533-position model. The record is from RNAcentral.